RNAcentral lists this ribosomal RNA (255 nucleotides) under uncultured bacterium. Its description in RNAcentral is "partial 16S ribosomal RNA". It matches the Rfam family "Bacterial small subunit ribosomal RNA", at positions 524 to 777 of the family's 1533-position model. The record is from RNAcentral.
UACGAAGGGGGCUAGCGUUGCUCGGAAUUACUGGGCGUAAAGCGCACGUAGGCGGCUUCUUAAGUCGGUGGUGAAAUCCUGGAGCUCAACUCCAGAACUGCCUUCGAUACUGGGAGCUCGAGUCCGGGAGAGGUGAGUGGAACUGCGAGUGUAGAGGUGAAAUUCGUAGAUAUUCGCAAGAACACCAGUGGCGGAAGGCGGCUCACUGGCCCGGUACUGACGCUGAGGUGCGAAAGCGUGGGGGAGCAAACAGGG